UACAGAGAGUGCAAGCGUUAAUCGGAAUCACUGGGCGUAAAGCGCACGUAGGUGGACUUCUAAGUCGGAUGUGAAAGCCCCGGGCUUAACCUGGGAAUUGCAUUCGAUACUGAAAGUCUAGAGUAUGGUAGAGGGAAGUGGAAUUUCCGGUGUAGCGGUGAAAUGCGUAGAUAUCGUAAGGAAGACCAGUGGCGAAGGCGGGUCUCUGGACAAUUGCUGACGCUCAGGCACGAAAGCGUGGGGAGCAAAAGGG
This 253-nucleotide ribosomal RNA is filed under the name uncultured bacterium. RNAcentral's name for it is "partial 16S ribosomal RNA". It matches the Rfam family "Bacterial small subunit ribosomal RNA", at positions 524 to 776 of the family's 1533-position model. The record is from RNAcentral.